This 253-nucleotide ribosomal RNA is filed under the name uncultured bacterium. Its description in RNAcentral is "partial 16S ribosomal RNA". It matches the Rfam family "Bacterial small subunit ribosomal RNA", at positions 524 to 776 of the family's 1533-position model. The record is from RNAcentral.
UACAGAGGUCUCAAGCGUUGUUCGGAUUCAUUGGGCGUAAAGGGUGCGUAGGUGGGCUGUUAAGUCAGUGGUGAAAUCUCCGGGCUCAACCCGGAAACUGCCAUUGAUACUAUCAGUCUUGAAUAUCGUUGAGGUAAGCGGAAUAUGUCAUGUAGCGGUGAAAUGCUUAGAUAUGACAUAGAACACCAAUUGCGAAGGCAGCUUGCUAACCGAAUAUUGACACUGAGACACGAAAGCGUGGGGAUCAAACAGG